Molecule: unclassified non-coding RNA, 358 nt
Filed under: soil metagenome
Description: partial contains 5.8S ribosomal RNA, internal transcribed spacer 2, and large subunit ribosomal RNA
Rfam family: 5.8S ribosomal RNA (bases 1-120)
Source: RNAcentral
GAUGAAGAACGUAGCGAAAUGCGAUAAGUAAUGUGAAUUGCAGAAUUCAGUGAAUCAUCGAAUCUUUGAACGCACAUUGCGCCCGUCAGUAUUCUGGCGGGCAUGCCUGUUCGAGCGUCAUUACGCCCCUCAAGUCCCCUGUGGACUUGGUGUUGGGGAUCGGCGAGGCUGGUUUUCCAGCACAGCCGUCCCUUAAAUUAAUUGGCGGUCUCGCCGUGGCCCUCCUCUGCGCAGUAGUAAAACACUCGCAACAGGAGCCCGGCGCGGUCCACUGCCGUAAAACCCCCCAACUUUUUAUAGUUGACCUCGAAUCAGGUAGGACUACCCGCUGAACCUAAGCAUAUCAAUAAGCGGAGGA